GUUUCACCAUGUUGGCUGGGCUGGGCUUGAACUCCUGACUUCAAGUGAUCACCCCACCUUGGCCUCCAGAAAUGUCUUCCAACAGAAAUGCUGCACCCAGCCUGAUUGCUAAUUUUUUAGAGUGGAUAUUUUGUCUCACAUUUCACCAUGGGCUUUGGAAGAUGAAUUCACAUGCCUUUCUCUCUUCACUGGGCAUUUUAACAACAUUGUAAAAUCCAUCAGCUAAGAUUUCUCAAAGUCCCCCAAACCAAUCUAGCUCCCUUUUUACCUGCCUUUGUAUACUGGGGCUUGUAUAAGAUUUUAUUUCAAAAGGGGUUCUGCAGCUACCAAUGGCCUCGGAAACUCUUACGGACAGCACUCCAGAAGGAAGAAAUGAGGCAAUGUUCACUUCUUUUCGAGGCAUUCAUCACAUAUCUGGACCACUGCCUCCAACCCCACCCGCCAAGUUCACCAUUUCCCUUGCGAUGGAAGGAAAAAGCCCUGGCCCACGGGGUUGCUCUGAAAAGGUGGCCAAUUCACUUUCUUUUUUUUGUUUGUUUCCUUUUUUGAGACAGAGUCUUGCUCUGUCGCCCAGGCUGGAGUGCAGUGGCACGAUCUCGGCUCAUUGCAACAUUCGCCUCCCGGAUUCAAGCGAUUCUUCUGCCUCAGCCUCCGGAGUAGCUGGGAUUUCAGACACUUUCUUCUUUCACUUUUACUGACAGAAACUUGUUCAGAGGAGAAAGCCCAGGUGCUCUGGCCUGAGGCUCUGACCAAAACUAUCUUCGACAUCACUUUAAACAGUUAAAGAAGUAGUAACUUUGAAGGUUUGGCCGGGGUGUGUGUGUGUGUGUGUGUGUGUGUGUGUUGCCAAAGAUGGCAACUUCCGGAUAGGUCUUUGCUUGAUAAAAAGAUAUUAGCUGCCUUUUCAGUUGUGGAAGUUGAGGCCCAGGACACAGUUUGAAUGAGGUGGCUGGGGCAAAGGAAGACAACGUCCAUUUUCUGAGGAGCUAUGCUGCAGAGAGGGCAGCCCCCAGCACCCUCGGAAGAGUUGAAGCAGGGCCAUCGAAUCCUCUGGUUCUGUGGUUGUGGGACCUGAGGCGGCAGCUUGGGGAAAAAGGCUUCAAUCCAUGAAUUGGGCUUCCUAAUCAGCAACAUGGAAACUAAAGCCAGCUCCACGCAGCAGCAUGUGAGAUAAGGGUUCAGAGCCUGUGCUUCCAAGAUGACUUUGGGACCAGGGUGUAUGAGGAGGUAGGAAGGCGUGGCCCCUGCACGAGGCCUGGCUGGGAAACGCCGCUGUGAUCACAUCGUUCAUCACUCACUGCUGACCACCUGACAGUUUUCCAGGACCAAGCCUCCUGCACUGUGUGAUUCUGGGAACAUCUCCUCUGGCUCACAAGGUCUGAAAAGCAAACCAGUCAGCUAUGGAAGUCAGAGACUCCAAAUGGAGGGGCCGGCUGAAGCCAUGGCAGAAGAACGUGGAUUGUGAAGAUUUCUUGGACAUUUAUUAGUUCCCCAAAUUAAUACUUUUAUAAUUUGUUAUGCCUGUCUUUACUGCAAUCUCUAAACAUAAACUGUAAAGAUUUCAUGGACACUUAUCACUUCCCCAAUUAAUACCCUUGUGAUUUCCUAUGCCUGUCUUUAAUCUCUUAAUCCUGUCAGCUGAGGAGGAUGUAUAUCGCCUCAGGACCCUGUAAUAAUUGCAUUAACUGCACAAAUUGUACAGCAUGUGUGUUUGAGCAAUAUGAAAUGUGGGCACCUUAAAAAAAGAACAGCAUAACAGCAAUUGUUCAGGGAAUAAGAGAGAUAACCUUAAACUCUGUCCACCAGUGAGCUGGGUGGAACAGAGCCAUAUUUCUCUUCUUUCAAAAGCAAAUGGGAGAAAUAUCACCGAAUUCUUUUUCUCAGCAUGGAACAUCCCCGAGAAAGAGAAUGCGCACCUGGGGGUAGGUCUCUAAACUGGCCCCACUGGGCGUGGUCGUCUCUUAUGGUCGAGACUGCAGAGGUGAGAUAGACUCCAGUCUCCCAUAGCGCUCCCAGGCUUAUUAGGAAGACGAAAUUCCUGCCGAAUAAAUUUUGGUCCGAUGGUUGAUCUCAAAACUCUGUCUCCUGAUAAGAUGUUAUCAAUGACAACAGUGCCUGAAACUUCAUUAGCAAUUUUAAUUUUGCCUCAGUCCUGUGGUCCUGUGAUCUCACCCUGCCUCCACUUGCCUUGUGAUAUUCUAUUACCUUGUAAAGUACUUUAUGUCUGUGACCCACACCUAUUUGCACACUCCCUCCCCUUUUGAAACUCCCUAAUAAAAACUUGCUGGUUUUUGUGGCUUGUGGGGCAUCACGGAACCUACUGACAUGCGAUGUCUCCCCCUGACGCCCGGCUUGAAAAUUUCUCUCUUUUGUACUCUGUCCCUUUAUUUCUGAAGCUGGCCAAUGCUUAGGGAAAAUAGAAAAGAACCUACAUGAAUAUUGGGGCAGUUUCCCCGAUAUCAAU
Molecule: long non-coding RNA, 2464 nt
Filed under: Homo sapiens (human)
Lineage: Eukaryota; Metazoa; Chordata; Mammalia; Primates; Hominidae
Description: HSALNT0121184
Source: RNAcentral